UACGUAGGGAGCAAGCGUUGUCCGGAUUUAUUGGGCGUAAAGAGCUCGUAGGCGGUUCCGUAAGUCAGGUGUGAAAAAUCUGGGCUCAACCCAGUGGAGCACCUGAUACUGCGGUGACUCGAGUCCGGUAGGGGAGUGUGGAAUUCCUGGUGGAGCGGUGAAAUGCGUAGAGAUCAGGAGGAACACCGAAGGCGAAAGCACUCUGCUGGGCCGACACUGACACUGAGAAGACGAAAGCGAGGGGAGCAAAUGGG
Molecule: ribosomal RNA, 254 nt
Filed under: uncultured bacterium
Lineage: Bacteria
Description: partial 16S ribosomal RNA
Rfam family: Bacterial small subunit ribosomal RNA
Source: RNAcentral